AUUUGAUCCGUAUCCCAAGAUUCUUGACUCUUCUUGAUUUCUGGAAGGGUAGUUCCGACCUGAUUGCAGACACGAUUGCUAAAGAUCCAUCCGUCAGAUCGAUCUCAAUUUUGGAUAUGUUGUGGAUCUCCGCGUUAGCUUUCCAGCGGUAGGUCGUGGGUCUAGAGAGGACGUCGGGAUCUUAAGAUAUCAGCCUCCGACUGAUGACUGCGCAGGGAAGGACGGGCUGAUAAUCCAACGGGAUGGAGUUGUUUGUAGAGGCUGGAAGGGAUCAAGGAGG
RNAcentral lists this long non-coding RNA (280 nucleotides) under Phoenix dactylifera (date palm). RNAcentral describes it as "long non-coding RNA (PDAC_LNC007497)". Lineage: Eukaryota; Viridiplantae; Streptophyta; Magnoliopsida; Arecales; Arecaceae. The record is from RNAcentral.